Molecule: long non-coding RNA, 203 nt
Filed under: Manihot esculenta (cassava)
Lineage: Eukaryota; Viridiplantae; Streptophyta; Magnoliopsida; Malpighiales; Euphorbiaceae
Description: long non-coding RNA (MESC_LNC012834)
Source: RNAcentral
CCGACAGAGGGAUUUUUGAGGUCAUGUCUGAUCCUUGAGAGUAAAGGAUGCUAGCAAAUAAAGGAACUCUCAAAAACACUCCGUGGGGAAUAUUUAGCUGCAUGAGCCCCGAGACGGACCAGAGACAGUUAUGUGAUUUCUUUGUGAUAUGACGCAUUUCAUGAGAGCAUGUAAUUAAUGAACUAUUUUCUAUGUUUCUACUC